AGAGUUUGAUCCUGGCUCAGAACGAACGCUGGCGGCGCGCCUAAUACAUGCAAGUCGAACGAGAAGGUGUAGCAAUACACUUGUAAAGUGGUGAACGGGUGAGGAAUGCAUGGGUAACCUACCCUCGAGUGGGGAAUAACCAGCCGAAAGGCUGGCUAAUACCGCGUACGCUUCCGGGUCUGCGGACCUGGAAGGAAAGUCACACCGUGGGUGUGACGCUCAAGGAUGGGCUCAUGUCCUAUCAGCUUGUUGGUAGGGUAACGGCCUACCAAGGCUUCGACGGGUAGCUGGUCUGAGAGGACGAUCAGCCACACUGGCACUGCGACACGGGCCAGACUCCUACGGGAGGCAGCAGUAAGGAAUAUUGCGCAAUGGGCGAAAGCCUGACGCAGCGACGCCGCGUGGGGGAUGAAGGUCUUCGGAUUGUAAACCCCUUUCGGGAGGGAAAAUGGAACGAGCAAUCGUUCGGAUGGUACCUCCAGAAGCAGCCACGGCUAACUUCGUGCCAGCAGCCGCGGUAAUACGAAGGUGGCAAGCGUUGUUCGGAUUUACUGGGCGUAAAGGGAGCGUAGGCGGUUUGGUAAGCCCCUCGGGAAAUCUUCGGGCUCAACCCGGAAAGGUCGGGGGGGACUGCCAGGCUAGAGGAUGGGAGAGGAGCGCGGAAUUCCCGGUGUAGCGGUGAAAUGCGUAGAGAUCGGGAGGAAGGCCGGUGGCGAAGGCGGCGCUCUGGAACAUAUCUGACGCUGAGGCUCGAAAGCGUGGGGAGCAAACAGGAUUAGAUACCCUGGUAGUCCACGCCCUAAACGAUGGACACUAAGUGUCGGCGGGUUACCGCCGGUGCCGCAGCUAACGCAGUAAGUGUCCCGCCUGGGGAGUACGGCCGCAAGGUUGAAACUCAAAGGAAUUGACGGGGGCCCGCACAAGCAGUGGAGCAUGUGGUUUAAUUCGAUGCUACGCGAAGAACCUUACCUGGGCUCGAAAUACUAGAUUAUCCAUCGGUGAAAGUCGGUGGCGCUUCGGCAAUCUAGACAAGUGCUGCAUGGCCGUCGUCAGCUCGUGCCGUGAGGUGUUGGGUUAAGUCCCGCAACGAGCGCAACCCCUAUCCUUAGUUGCCAUCAGGUUAUGCUGGGGACUCUAAGGAGACUGCCUACGCAAGUAGUGAGGAAGGUGGGGAUGACGUCAAGUCCUCAUGGCCCUUACGCCCAGGGCUACACACGUGCUACAAUGGUAACUACAGAGGGCAGCGAUACCGCGAGGUGGAGCAAAUCUCAAAAAAGUUAUCUCAGUCCGGAUCGGAGUCUGCAACUCGACUCCGUGAAGCUGGAAUUGCUAGUAAUCGCGUAUCAGCAUGACGCGGUGAAUACGUUCCCGGGCCUUGUACACACCGCCCGUCAAGCCAUGGAAGCUGGGGGCGCCCGACGUCGGUGAGCUAACCGUAAGGAAGCAGCCGCCUAAGGCGAAACCAGUGACUGGGGCUAAGUCGUAACAAGGUA
This 1493-nucleotide ribosomal RNA is filed under the name metagenome. RNAcentral's name for it is "bacterial SSU rRNA". It matches the Rfam family "Bacterial small subunit ribosomal RNA". The record is from RNAcentral.